UACGGAGGGUGCAAGCGUUAUCCGGAAUCACUGGGUUUAAAGGGUGCGUAGGCUGUGCAAUAAGUCAGAAGUGAAAUGUUACCGCUUAACGGUAGACCUGCUUUUGAAACUGUUGUGCUUGAAUUAAGUUGAGGUUGGCGGAAUGUGACAUGUAGCGGUGAAAUGCAUAGAUAUGUCAUGGAACACCAAUUGCGAAGGCAGCUGGCUAGACUUUAAUUGACGCUGAGGCACGAAAGCGUGGGGAGCGAACAGG
RNAcentral lists this ribosomal RNA (253 nucleotides) under uncultured bacterium. Its description in RNAcentral is "partial 16S ribosomal RNA". It matches the Rfam family "Bacterial small subunit ribosomal RNA", at positions 524 to 776 of the family's 1533-position model. The record is from RNAcentral.